RNAcentral lists this long non-coding RNA (244 nucleotides) under Eucalyptus grandis. Its description in RNAcentral is "long non-coding RNA (EGRA_LNC004412)". Lineage: Eukaryota; Viridiplantae; Streptophyta; Magnoliopsida; Myrtales; Myrtaceae. The record is from RNAcentral.
GCUCCUCUCGCCCCAGUUCUCGUUCAUGUCCUCCACGAACGCCUUCGUCUCGGCGUCCGCGUCCGACGGCAGGACGACGGCCGGGGAAGGGUCCGACGACGGGAAGUUCACGUCGCUCUCCCACGGCGCUCGGUUCCCGGACGACAGGUCGUCCGGCAACCACGCUCGGUUCCCGGACGACAGGUCGUCCGGCAACCACGCCGUCUCCCACGCGUCGUUCCAUUCGUCGCCGCCGCGGCCGGCG